This 468-nucleotide ribosomal RNA is filed under the name uncultured bacterium. RNAcentral describes it as "partial 16S ribosomal RNA". It matches the Rfam family "Bacterial small subunit ribosomal RNA", at positions 28 to 507 of the family's 1533-position model. The record is from RNAcentral.
GACGAACGCUGGCGGCGUGCUUAACACAUGCCAGUCGAACGGAAAGGCCCUGCUUUUGUGGGGUGCUCGAGUGGCGAACGGGUGAGUAACACGUGAGUAACCUGCCCUUGACUUUGGGAUAACUUCAGGAAACUGGGGCUAAUACCGGAUAGGAGCUCCUGCUGCAUGUUGGGGGUUGGAAAGUUUCGGCGGUUGGGGAUGGACUCGCGGCUUAUCAGCUUGUUGGUGGGGUAGUGGCUUACCAAGGCUUUGACGGGUAGCCGGCCUGAGAGGGUGACUGGCCACAUUGGGACUGAGAUACGGCCCAGACUCCUACGGGAGGCAGCAGUGGGGAAUAUUGCACAAUGGGCGGAAGCCUGAUGCAGCAACGCCGCGUGCGGGAUGACGGCCUUCGGGUUGUAAACCGCUUUCGCCUGUGACGAAGCGUGAGUGACGGUAAUGGGUAAAGAAGCACCGGCUAACUACGUG